AGCUUUGCGCAGUGGCAGUAUCGUAGCCAAUGAGGUUUAUCCGAGGCGCGAUUAUUGCUAAUUGAAAAGCACACGAACUAUAAUGUCUGUAGAAAAGGGAGGAUAACUUUUUUUAAUAUAUUCUUUUGAUAUUAAACAUUAG
RNAcentral lists this small nuclear RNA (142 nucleotides) under Ochotona princeps (American pika). RNAcentral's name for it is "U4 spliceosomal RNA (ENSOPRG00000019475.1)". It matches the Rfam family "U4 spliceosomal RNA". From Rfam's summary of the family: U4 small nuclear RNA (U4 snRNA) is a component of the major U2-dependent spliceosome. The structure of U4 snRNA from yeast and human has been reported. U4 snRNA presents a k-turn RNA motif in the 5p-SL related to recognition of Snu13 protein. The record is from RNAcentral. Lineage: Eukaryota; Metazoa; Chordata; Mammalia; Lagomorpha; Ochotonidae.